RNAcentral lists this ribosomal RNA (880 nucleotides) under uncultured bacterium. RNAcentral's name for it is "bacterial SSU rRNA". It matches the Rfam family "Bacterial small subunit ribosomal RNA", at positions 8 to 885 of the family's 1533-position model. The record is from RNAcentral.
AGAGUUUGAUCCUGGCUCAGGACGAACGCUGGCGGCGUGCUUAACACAUGCAAGUCGAGCGGGGAUCAAUUACGGAAAGCUUCGGCCGGAAGUGAUUGAUUCUAGCGGCGGACGGGUGAGUAACGCGUGAGCAAUCUGUCCUACACAGGGGGAUAACACCUGGAAACAGGUGCUAAUACCGCAUAAGACCACGAGGUCGCAUGGCCACGGGGUAAAAGAUUUAUCGGUGUAGGGUGAGCUCGCGUCUGAUUAGCUAGUUGGUGAGGUAACGGCCCACCAAGGCGACGAUCAGUAGCCGACCUGAGAGGGUGAUCGGCCACAUUGGAACUGAGACACGGUCCAGACUCCUACGGGAGGCAGCAGUGGGGAAUAUUGGGUAAUGGGCGCAAGCCUGACCCAGCAACGCCGCGUGAGGGAAGAAGGCUUUCGGGUUGUAAACCUCUGUCCUAAGUGACGAAACAAAUGACGGUAGCUUAGGAGGAAGCCCCGGCUAACUACGUGCCAGCAGCCGCGGUAAUACGUAGGGGGCAAGCGUUGUCCAGAAUGACUGGGCGUAAAGGGCGUGUAGGCGGCUUUUUAAGUGUGAAGUGAAAGUCCUGCUUUCAAGGUGGGAAUUGCUUUGCAAACUGGAGAGCUUGAGUGCGGAAGAGGUAAGUGGAAUUCCCAGUGUAGCGGUGAAAUGCGUAGAGAUUGGGAGGAACACCAGUGGCGAAGGCGACUUACUGGGCCGCAACUGACGCUGAGGCGCGAAAGCGUGGGGAGCGAACAGGAUUAGAUACCCUGGUAGUCCACGCUGUAAACGAUGAAUGCUAGGUGUAGCGGGUAUCGACCCCUGCUGUGCCGGAGUAAACACAAUAAGCAUUCCGCCUGGGGAGUACGG